Molecule: long non-coding RNA, 1023 nt
Filed under: Homo sapiens (human)
Lineage: Eukaryota; Metazoa; Chordata; Mammalia; Primates; Hominidae
Description: HSALNT0394756
Source: RNAcentral
AGACAGGAAAUAGGAUCUUAGUGGGUGGCCGCCAAGAGCGCACAGACUUUGAAGCAGGAAAAGACAGUCUCUAGAGCAACAUGGAAAGGAUCCAGGUAAGGGAGCUUCUGUCGUCAGGGCCACAUUGGCACCAAGGGGGUGCAGCAGAGGGGCUGACUUAGAAGAAGGCUAGUUUCUUCCCAAUGCCACCCUAUUCCACCACCCCACCACCCACGUUCUAAAUGGUUUUGCGGAAGUGAAUUGCUUAAUUUCCCAUCUUUUAGCCUUUAAAACAUAUUUUUCUCCCUCAAGUAUUUGUUUUCAGGCAAAAGCAAGCCUCCAAAAGCCCCUUGGUUCUUCUCUGUGUGUCUCGCCCCUUCUGCCUUGUACACCAGACUGCCGGCAAGCAAGCGGGGAGGUGGCGAACAGCUGGGAUCCUCCAGUGAAAAGUUUGCUCAGCGCGAGAGAUGUCAAGAGGCUGGGAUUGUCGCCUAUCGGGAGAAGAAUUCCACAGAUGAAUUGGUUCUGCCCUGUAUCUUUGAAUGGUUUUUAUUUUCUGAUGUCCAGUGUGGCAGCCUGGCAGAGACAUUUAGUUGAAAGAACACGGGGCUCUGGAAACAACCAGUCCUCCUUGGUUCAUAUUCUCGUGUUGUCACUUAUUAACCGAGUGACAUUGGAGGUGAUAUGCUGCAGUUUAUCACUGAGGUCCUGAGAUGGUCCAUACUCUAAGCUUUGUGUCUACUGUGGGGGGCAAAGGGAAAACUUCCCCCUUGCUCUCUGAAGAGUCAUUGAAAAUCAACUGACAAAAGAAUCUAAAAUAUUCCUGGAAAUGGAGAGUCCUGACAUGAUGGCCCCAUGAUGAAAAGAACCCAGGUUCCUGAGUCACGACGUGGACAUGAGGCACCAAGGAGAAAACACGUGAACCUUAAUAAGUUUGGGGGUACACCUCCUUGCCAUGUGUUACCUUCUGUCAUGUUAUGAUGCAGCAAGAAGGCCCUAAUCAGUGGUAGUCCCUCAGUCCUGGACUUCUCAGCCUCCAGAACU